GAUGAACGCUGGCGGCGUGCCUAAUACAUGCAAGUCGAGCGAACAGACGAGGAGCUUGCUCCUCUGACUUUAGCGGCGGACGGGUGAGUAACACGUUGAUAACCUACCUAUAAGACUGGGAUAACUUCGGGAAACCGGAGCUAAUACCGGAUAAUAUAUUGAACCGCAUUGUUCAAUAGUGAAAGACGGUUUUGCUGUCACUUAUAGAUGGAUCCGCGCCGCAUUAGCUAGUUGGUAAGGUAACGGCUUACCAAGGCAACGAUGCGUAGCCGACCUGAGAGGGUGAUCGGCCACACUGGAACUUAGACACGGUCCAGACUCCUACGGGAGGCAGCAGUAGGGAAUCUUCCGCAAUGGACGAAAGCCUGACGGAGCAACGCCGCGUGAGUGAUGAAGGUCUUCGGAUCGUAAAACUCUGUUAUUAGGGAAGAACAAAUGUGUAAGUAACUAUGCACGUCUUGACGGUACCUAAUCAGAAAGCCACGGCUAACUACGUG
RNAcentral lists this ribosomal RNA (497 nucleotides) under uncultured bacterium. RNAcentral describes it as "partial 16S ribosomal RNA". It matches the Rfam family "Bacterial small subunit ribosomal RNA", at positions 28 to 507 of the family's 1533-position model. The record is from RNAcentral.